GGAUCUUUGAGAGCGGCGCACGGGUGCGGAACACGUGUGCAACCUGCCUUUAUCAGGGGGAUAGCCUUUCGAAAGGAAGAUUAAUACCCCAUAAUAUAAUGACUGGCAUCAGUUCUUAUUGAAAACUCCGGUGGAUAGAGAUGGGCACGCGCAGGAUUAGAUAGUUGGUAGGGUAACGGCCUACCAAGUCAACGAUCCUUAGGGGGCCUGAGAGGGUGAUCCCCCACACUGGUACUGAGACACGGACCAGACUCCUACGGGAGGCAGCAGUGAGGAAUAUUGGACAAUGGGUGAGAGCCUGAUCCAGCCAUCCCGCGUGAAGGACGACGGCCCUAUGGGUUGUAAACUUCUUUUGUAUAGGGAUAAACCUACUCUCGUGAGAGUAGCUGAAGGUACUAUACGAAUAAGCACCGGCUAACUCCGUGCCAGCAGCCGCGGUAAUACGGAGGGUGCAAGCGUUAUCCGGAUUUAUUGGGUUUAAAGGGUCCGUAGGCUGAUUUGUAAGUCAGUGGUGAAAUCUCACAGCUCAACUGUGAAACUGCCAUUGAUACUGCAAGUCUUGAGUGUUGUUGAAGUAGCUGGAAUAAGUAGUGUAGCGGUGAAAUGCAUAGAUAUUACUUAGAACACCAAUUGCGAAGGCAGGUUACUAAGCAACAACUGACGCUGAUGGACGAAAGCGUGGGGAGCGAACAGGAUUAGAUACCCUGGUAGUCCACGCCGUAAACGAUGCUAACUCGUUUUUGGGUUUUCGGAUUCAGAGACUAAGCGAA
Molecule: ribosomal RNA, 770 nt
Filed under: Chryseobacterium shigense
Lineage: Bacteria; Pseudomonadati; Bacteroidota; Flavobacteriia; Flavobacteriales; Weeksellaceae
Description: bacterial SSU rRNA
Rfam family: Bacterial small subunit ribosomal RNA
Source: RNAcentral